RNAcentral lists this small RNA (244 nucleotides) under Histoplasma capsulatum var. duboisii H88. RNAcentral's name for it is "Histoplasma capsulatum H88 hypothetical RNA". Lineage: Eukaryota; Fungi; Ascomycota; Eurotiomycetes; Onygenales; Ajellomycetaceae. The record is from RNAcentral.
GCACAUGGAUGGAUUUGACGUAGGAUAUAAAAGCUUUCUGUCCAAGGUAUUUUCUUCUGUUCCAGCCGCUUUAACAUUCCCGCCUCUUCACUGGGCUCUAGAAACAGAACUGCUCGCCCGUUGCGUUCGUAGCGCGCAGUUCGACCUGCUCGGUGGAUAUAUGUGUCUGCGUCCUCUGGGCAGUCAACCUGAAUAACCCAGUCGACAGCCGGGAAAUCCAAGCCCCUCGCCGCAAUAUCCGUAG